GACGAACGCUGGCGGCGUGAUUAACACAUGCAAGUCGAGCGGUAAGGCCCUUUCGGGGGUACACGAGCGGCGAACGGGUGAGUAACACGUGGGUGACCUGCCCUCAGCUCUGGGAUAAGCCUGGGAAACCGGGUCUAAUACUGGAUAUGACUCCAUGACGCAUGUUGUGGGGCGGAAAGCCUUGGUGCGGCUGAGGAUGGGCCCGCGGCCUAUCAGCUUGUUGGUGGGGUGANGGCCUACCAAGGCGACGACGGGUAGCCGGCCUGAGAGGG
This 272-nucleotide ribosomal RNA is filed under the name uncultured bacterium. Its description in RNAcentral is "partial 16S ribosomal RNA". It matches the Rfam family "Bacterial small subunit ribosomal RNA", at positions 28 to 300 of the family's 1533-position model. The record is from RNAcentral.